UCCCCGUUGCCGGGGCAGUCUAGCUAGAGAAAUUCAACUAACUAUAAGGGUUGCGCUCGUUACUGGACUUAACCAUACAUCUCACGACACGAGCUGACGACGGCCAUGCAACACCUGUCAUUGGGUUCCCGAAGGCACUCUUUCCUUUCGGAUAGAUUCCCAAGAUGUCAAACCUUGGUAAGGUUCUUCGCUUAUCGUCGAAUUAAACAACACACUCCACCGCUUGUGCGGGUCCCCGUCAAUUCCUUUAUGUUUUAGUCUUGCGACCGUACUCCACAGGCGGGAUGCUUAACGCGUUAGCUUCGCUACUACCAGGAUCGAUACUGAUAACAGCUAGCAUCCAUCGUUUACGGCGUGGACUAC
Molecule: unclassified non-coding RNA, 363 nt
Filed under: uncultured bacterium
Lineage: Bacteria
Description: contains 16S-23S intergenic spacer region
Source: RNAcentral